This 460-nucleotide ribosomal RNA is filed under the name uncultured bacterium. Its description in RNAcentral is "partial 16S ribosomal RNA". It matches the Rfam family "Bacterial small subunit ribosomal RNA", at positions 338 to 795 of the family's 1533-position model. The record is from RNAcentral.
CCUACGGGGGGCAGCAGUGAGGAAUAUUGGUCAAUGGACGCAAGUCUGAACCAGCCAUGCCGCGUGCAGGAAGACGGCUCUAUGAGUUGUAAACUGCUUUUGUACGAGGGUAAACGCAGAUACGCGUAUCUGUCUGAAAGUAUCGUACGAAUAAGGAUCGGCUAACUCCGUGCCAGCAGCCGCGGUAAUACGGAGGAUUCAAGCGUUAUCCGGAUUUAUUGGGUUUAAAGGGUGCGUAGGCGGUCGGAUAAGUUAGAGGUGAAAUCCCGAGGCUCAACUUCGGAAUUGCCUCUGAUACUGUGCGGCUAGAGAGUAGUUGCGGUAGGCGGAAUGUAUGGUGUAGCGGUGAAAUGCUUAGAGAUCAUACAGAACACCGAUUGCGAAGGCAGCUUACCAAGCUACUACUGACGUUGAGGCACGAAAGCGUGGGGAGCAAACAGGAUUAGAUACCCCAGUAGUC